ACGUUUUGGAGAAGUGCAGCCUUAUUUUGCAUGUUCCGUACUAGGUUCCGUAGCAACGCGUAGCAGGCAUCCCAAGUGGGCAACAGAGAAUUGCAUUAUUUUCGCCGCUCAUCCCAUCAGGAAAAGUGCCAGGAGAUGCGAUUCUGUAUGGGAAGCAAUUUUCUAGUUCCACGUCAGAAUACACGAGGAAAAGGAUGAUCGGCAGCGCUAUAAAUGAAGUCGGCAACAUCAUGGUCGUUUUAUGGGCUCCGCAUCUUCCGCCGGGGUGCACUCCGAGUGUGCUAGCGAAACAUCAACAUGGGAUCACAGCCAAGGUCACAGCUAAGCAGUUUUUUGGUAAUUGAACAUGUUAUUGUGAACGUGUUGUGUAUUAUGUAGGGCAUGGAGUAUUAAUAAAAAUUA
Long non-coding RNA from Aedes albopictus (Asian tiger mosquito), 402 nucleotides. RefSeq lists it as uncharacterized. The transcript has 3 exons. Lineage: Eukaryota; Metazoa; Arthropoda; Insecta; Diptera; Culicidae. The record is from RefSeq and is a predicted model, not a curated record.